RNAcentral lists this ribosomal RNA (478 nucleotides) under uncultured bacterium. RNAcentral describes it as "partial 16S ribosomal RNA". It matches the Rfam family "Bacterial small subunit ribosomal RNA", at positions 35 to 507 of the family's 1533-position model. The record is from RNAcentral.
GGGGGGGGGGGGGGGGGGGCCUAGCGGGGGGGGGGGGGGGGGGGGGGGCUGGGGGGGGGGGGAACGGGCGCGCGGGUGCGGAAGGCGGGUGCGACGGACCGUUCACAGGGGGAUAGCCGGAAGAAAGUUGGGUUAAUACCCCCUCAUAGGAUUGGAUGGCAUCAGUUGAUAAUUAAAACUGCGGUGGUGAAAGAUGGGCCUGCGUCCUAGUAGCUAGUUGGAGUGGUAACGGCACCCCAAGGCUACGCUAGGUAGGGGUCCUGAGAGGGAGAUCCCCCACACUGGUACUGAGACAGUGACCAGACUCCUACGGGAGGCAGAAGUGAGGAAUAUUGGUCAAUGGUCGGAAGACUGAACCAGCCAUGCCGCGUGAAGGAAGAAUGCCUUAUGGGUUGUAAACUGCUUUUAUAGGGGAAGAAUAAGGCGUACGUGUACGUUGAUGACGGUACCAUAUGAAUAAGCAUCGGCUAACUCCGUG